UGGGGAAUAUUGGACAAUGGGCGAAAGCCUGAUCCAGCCAUGCCGCGUGUGUGAAGAAGGUCUUCGGAUUGUAAAGCACUUUAAGUUGGGAGGAAGGGUUGUAGAUUAAUACUCUGCAAUUUUGACGUUACCGACAGAAUAAGCACCGGCUAACUCUGUGCCAGCAGCCGCGGUAAUACAGAGGGUGCAAGCGUUAAUCGGAAUUACUGGGCGUAAAGCGCGCGUAGGUGGUUUGUUAAGUUGGAUGUGAAAUCCCCGGGCUCAACCUGGGAACUGCAUCCAAAACUGGCAAGCUAGAGUAUGGUAGAGGGUGGUGGAAUUUCCUGUGUAGCGGUGAAAUGCGUAGAUAUAGGAAGGAACACCUGAGGUGAAGACGGGUUGCUGGGCUGACACUGACGCUGAGGCGCGAAAGCCAGGGGAGCAAACGGGAUUAGAUACCCAUGUAGUCCCUGAGCGGGCUGGCAAGGCGCAU
RNAcentral lists this ribosomal RNA (472 nucleotides) under uncultured bacterium. RNAcentral describes it as "bacterial SSU rRNA". It matches the Rfam family "Bacterial small subunit ribosomal RNA", at positions 355 to 825 of the family's 1533-position model. The record is from RNAcentral.